GCCUUCGUAAUCCAUCGUGUAGCCUUAGUGAUCCAUCGUGUAGGCUACGGCUGAGAUAUGAAGCUUAAAUACCCGUCUUCGGUUAACCUUCGUAUGUCCAUCUUUUACUAUCGUAUACAAUUUCGGCACCAUCGUAUAGACUUCGUUGUUCAUCGUACUUGCUUCGGUCACUUUUUGGUAUUUUAACGAGAUCGGGACCAACUUCGUACGAACUUACAAUUUUCGCAUUCGGGUGUCCAUCGUAUAUAAAAAUCGGGACAGUGUGACGCGGGCA
This 274-nucleotide long non-coding RNA is filed under the name Mytilus galloprovincialis (Mediterranean mussel). The record is from RNAcentral. Lineage: Eukaryota; Metazoa; Mollusca; Bivalvia; Mytilida; Mytilidae.